RNAcentral lists this ribosomal RNA (253 nucleotides) under uncultured bacterium. RNAcentral describes it as "partial 16S ribosomal RNA". It matches the Rfam family "Bacterial small subunit ribosomal RNA", at positions 524 to 776 of the family's 1533-position model. The record is from RNAcentral.
UACAGAGGUGGCAAGCGUUGUUCGGAUUUAUUGGGCGUAAAGGGUCCGUAGGCGGUCCGGAAAGUCGGAUGUGAAAUCCCACAGCUUAACUGUGGAACUGCAUUCGAAACUUCCGGACUCGAGUGUGAGAGGGGUAAGGGGAAUUCCCGGUGUAAGAGUGAAAUCUGUAGAGAUCGGGAGGAACACCAGUCGCGAAGGCGCCUUACUGGCUCACUACUGACGCUGAGGGACGAAAGCCAGGGGAGCAAACGGG